This 362-nucleotide ribosomal RNA is filed under the name uncultured bacterium. RNAcentral's name for it is "bacterial SSU rRNA". It matches the Rfam family "Bacterial small subunit ribosomal RNA", at positions 29 to 421 of the family's 1533-position model. The record is from RNAcentral.
AACGAACGCUGGCGGCAUGCCUAACACAUGCAAGUCGAACGAGACCUUCGGGUCUAGUGGCGCACGGGUGCGUAACACGUGGGAAUUUGCCUCGGGGUAUGGAAUAACUCAGGGAAACUUGAGCUAAUACCAUAUAAUGUCUUCGGACCAAAGAUUUAUCGCCCUGAGAUAAGCCCGCGUAGGAUUAGCUAGUUGGUGGGUAAAGGCUCACCAAGGCGACGAUCCUUAGCUGGUCUGAGAGGAUGAUCAGCCACACUGGGACUGAGACACGGCCCAGACUCCUACGGAGGCAGCAGUGGGAAUAUUGGACAAUGGGCGAAAGCCUGAUCCAGCAAUGCCGCGUGAGUGAUGAAGGCCUUCGG